RNAcentral lists this ribosomal RNA (460 nucleotides) under uncultured bacterium. RNAcentral's name for it is "partial 16S ribosomal RNA". It matches the Rfam family "Bacterial small subunit ribosomal RNA", at positions 338 to 795 of the family's 1533-position model. The record is from RNAcentral.
CCUACGGGUGGCUGCAGUGAGGAAUAUUGGUCAAUGGACGAGAGUCUGAACCAGCCAAGUAGCGUGAAGGAUGACUGCCCUAUGGGUUGUAAACUUCUUUUAUAAAGGAAUAAAACGAGGCACGUGUGCCUUUUUGCAUGUACUUUAUGAAUACGGAUCGGCUAACUCCGUGCCAGCAGCCGCGGUAAUACGGAGGAUCCGAGCGUUAUCCGGAUUUAUUGGGUUUAAAGGGAGCGUAGAUGGGUUGUUAAGUCAGUUGUGAAAGUUUGCGGCUCAACCGUAAAAUUGCAAUUGAUACUGGCAGUCUAGAGUACAGGUGAGGUAGGCGGAAUUCGUGGUGUAGCGGUGAAAUGCUUAGAUAUCACGAAGAACUCCGAUUGCGAAGGCAGCUUACUAAACUGCCACUGACAUUGAUGCUCGAAAGUGUGGGUAGCAAACAGGAUUAGAUACCCCAGUAGUC